GCUGGUGGCAUGCUUUUCAAAUUUCAUACUUGUUACACGAGAGCGUACAUCAAAUCAUUCUAACUUUUGGCAAAAUCAGUUAUUACUUCAUCAGAACUUGAUGAAAUUAGCCUAAAGUAAACUUGUCAUCCAUGUAUUGCAUUAGAAACGUCAUAUUUCUUUCCAAAUAGCGUAUCAAACAUCGUUUAUUUUUGUAAAUUUUUCUUCGUCCGACAUUUAAAUUUGUAGAACUACGGAUCGGAAUCGGGAUUUCAUCGGAAACGGACCCGCUAUGACCGAAAUCCGGAUUCUUGCGAUAAUGACUACAGACGCAUGAAUGGCACUGCUGACAGACAAAAAUUGAUCCCAAAAGUGAAAAUUACGCAUUCCACACGCAUUAACAUACUUUUGGUUAGAUCUUCUUGAUUAAUGUAUAUAUUUCCAUGUAUAAGCAUUGUUUCAAUUUAUAGGUUAAAGUUGCUUAACUCUAGGACUAUUACACCAGAGACAUAUAUACACAUGUGUAUAUAUAUGUCUCUGCAUACACUAAGAGGUUCCUGACUGGGUGACUGGUAUAUAUAGUGUAUAUGCAGC
This 573-nucleotide long non-coding RNA is filed under the name Mytilus galloprovincialis (Mediterranean mussel). Lineage: Eukaryota; Metazoa; Mollusca; Bivalvia; Mytilida; Mytilidae. The record is from RNAcentral.